Molecule: long non-coding RNA, 734 nt
Filed under: Theobroma cacao (cacao)
Lineage: Eukaryota; Viridiplantae; Streptophyta; Magnoliopsida; Malvales; Malvaceae
Description: long non-coding RNA (TCAC_LNC005560)
Source: RNAcentral
UGAUCAGUAUAGCCUCGAAAAUACCAUAUCUCAACUGAUUGGAUUAACAGACAACCAUAGUAGAUAGUAAGCUAGGUGAGCAGCUAUCAAGAGACUAUACAAAAGAAGAAAGAAACCCAGGUGAAAGCAUGAUUGAAAUUGUGUAUGUCAGCAAAUUUCAGAAAAGAACCUGUUAGCUGCAAUUGAGAAGAAGCUACAUCCAAAAUAAAUAUGUACAAAAAUUUAAAAUAAACCCAAAAAAUAAAGGGACCAUAGAAUGUUAAUUUUUAGGAGCUAUUUUGUCCAUCCGCUCUAAUUUGCUUAAGAUGAUCUGCUUUGAGCAUUCAGGGGAAAUACCGAGUUCCAGGCCAUACCUCCAAACUUGCACUGCUUCCUCCUUUACAAUGCCCUGAUUUGGUUGAGAACUUGCAGCUUCUUAGUUUUUAAGGCUUGUGGAGAGGACUCCUCUGCUUAAGCUUUUUAUGUCUUUCUUUCUAAGCUUUUUGAAUUUCUUGCUCACUUUGGAACGCAAAUUCUCCUUAAUUAAAUCUUGCAACCGACAUUGAGAAGCGUCAGAAAGAGGAUCAAUCUCUGGGUCAUCUUCUGAAUGGUAGGGAGAAGCUUCAGUUUUCUGGGUAUAGAGGGUUCGACAACUCAGUUUAGUGUUAUAGUGGUAUGGGGUCGGUUGAGUUUUGGCUUUUCUAGAUUUUAUGGGUUUUUUGGUUUAGGGUGUAUUUCUUGGGUCAAGUUCUUGG